CUCCCCUCAACCUCGUCUUGGGCAUUCUCCCACGUGGCCAUUCCUGAGUUGGAUUCUGUAUAAUCAACCACUAACAGAAGCUGGAGUACUGGCUGGUGUCAGGAGGAAAAGCCUUGAGGGGCUAAGAGCCAGCACGGCUGAAACAGACCACACAGAGGAAGUGGAAGAGGAGACUGCACCCAGCAGAAACAGCCCAUUGGAGAUCCACGCGCCUGCAGAUGUGCUGA
Suricata suricatta (meerkat) is the source of this 227-nucleotide long non-coding RNA. RefSeq lists it as uncharacterized. The record is from RefSeq and is a predicted model, not a curated record. The transcript is spliced from 3 exons. Lineage: Eukaryota; Metazoa; Chordata; Mammalia; Carnivora; Herpestidae.